RNAcentral lists this ribosomal RNA (433 nucleotides) under uncultured bacterium. RNAcentral describes it as "partial 16S ribosomal RNA". It matches the Rfam family "Bacterial small subunit ribosomal RNA", at positions 29 to 507 of the family's 1533-position model. The record is from RNAcentral.
AACGAACGCUGGCGGCAUGCCUAACAUAUGCAAGUCGAACGAGACCUUCGGGUCUAGUGGCGCACGGGUGCGUAACGCGUGGGAACCUGCCCUUAGGUUCGGAAUAACUCCCCGAAAGGGGUGCUAAUACCGGAUAAUGUCUUCGGACCAAAGAUUUAUCGCCUUUGGAUGGGCCCGCGUUGGAUUAGCUAGUUGGUAGGGUAAAAGCCUACCAAGGCGACGAUCCAUAGCUGGUCUGAGAGGAUGAUCAGCCACACUGGGACUGAGACACGGCCCAGACUCCUACGGGAGGCAGCAGUGGGGAAUAUUGGACAAUGGGCGAAAGCCUGAUCCAGCAAUGCCGCGUGAGUGAUGAAGGCCUUAGGGUUGUAAAGCUCUUUUACCCGGGAUGAUAAUGACAGUACCGGGAGUAUAAGCUCCGGCUAACUCCGUG